UACGGAAGGUCCAGGCGUUAUCCGGAUUUAUUGGGUUUAAAGGGAGCGUAGGCCGUUUGGUAAGCGUGUUGUGAAAUGUCGGGGCUCAACCUGGGCAUUGCAGCGUGAACUGCCAGGCUUGAGUGCGCAGGAAGUAGGCGGAAUUCGUCGUGUAGCGGUGAAAUGCUUAGAUAUGACGAAGAACUCCGAUUGCGAAGGCAGCCUGCUGUAGCGCAACUGACGCUGAAGCUCGAAAGCGUGGGUAUCGAACAGG
RNAcentral lists this ribosomal RNA (253 nucleotides) under Leyella stercorea DSM 18206. RNAcentral's name for it is "Prevotella stercorea DSM 18206 partial 16S ribosomal RNA". It matches the Rfam family "Bacterial small subunit ribosomal RNA", at positions 524 to 776 of the family's 1533-position model. Lineage: Bacteria; Pseudomonadati; Bacteroidota; Bacteroidia; Bacteroidales; Prevotellaceae. The record is from RNAcentral.